UCUCUGGACGUUCUUGGUCAACGGUCAUCGCCUAGACUUAACUGUCUUCCUAAGGUUCAGUGAGGCAAGCAGUAACUUUCUGACCUCUCCAUCCAUCUUGUGCCUUGGAAGCCUCUACACUUCUCCCAAGCGCAUUAUCCGCCUUGGGCCAUCAUCUCUCAAUCUCCGUUACUCCUAGAUCCAUCCUCAUGGCUGAGGAAAUGUAUGACUGGUGCCUCAAACAUGCUCCUCAAAAAAGGAAACAGUUGAAAGAGUAUUUCAAGCUCCUGAACAGAUUUGCGGAAGACAACAAUGAGAGGCUGAUGAGAAACAAUGCCGAAUUGAGGAAAGUUUGGGAAAGGCAGAAGGCAGCUUUAGAAGGUUUAAGAGAGCGUCUAGCACAAGAAAAGGAAAGAAACCAAGUGGAAAUGCCAGAACAGGUAUCAGACUCCUCCUUCUUCUUCUUCGUUUUUAAGUAGUAAUAAUAAUAAUUUUAUAUUAUACAUUUCACAAUAGAUUUAAAAUAAAAACACUAAUGCUUCAUGCAAUUUGUCAAAACAAUUUACAAAAUUGUUUCCUUAGCUAUAAACCUCAUAACCUUUUUUGACCUAUUCUGUUAAUUGUCAUCAUUCUUUAUGAUCGCUCGCUUUCAAAAAGAUAAAGAAGAGGUAAAUAUUCCUGUACCUAAAACUCAUCUUCUUCUUA
Molecule: long non-coding RNA, 684 nt
Organism: Sceloporus undulatus (fence lizard)
Lineage: Eukaryota; Metazoa; Chordata; Lepidosauria; Squamata; Phrynosomatidae
Exons: 3
Source: RefSeq, a predicted model, not a curated record